CACUAAGAAGCUAUUGUAGCAUUAACCUUUUAAGUUAAA
Molecule: transfer RNA, 39 nt
Filed under: Haringtonhippus francisci
Lineage: Eukaryota; Metazoa; Chordata; Mammalia; Perissodactyla; Equidae
Description: partial tRNA-Lys
Source: RNAcentral